GACGAACCGUGCGAACGUUGUUCGGAUUCACUGGGCUUAAAGGGCGCGUAGGCGGGCGGUCAAGUCGGGGGUGAAAUCUUUCAGCUUAACUGGAAAAGUGCCUCCGAUACUGAUCGCCUCGAGGGAGGUAGGGGCAUGUGGAACUUCCGGUGGAGCGGUGAAAUGCGUAGAUAUCGGAAGGAACGCCGGUGGCGAAAGCGAUGUGCUGGACCUCUUCUGACGCUGAGGCGCGAAAGCUAGGGGAGCAAACGGG
This 253-nucleotide ribosomal RNA is filed under the name uncultured bacterium. RNAcentral's name for it is "partial 16S ribosomal RNA". It matches the Rfam family "Bacterial small subunit ribosomal RNA", at positions 524 to 776 of the family's 1533-position model. The record is from RNAcentral.